AGUCACUGACAUUAGACUACCCGGGUAGUCCCAGCCGUAAACUAUGCGCGUUAGGUGUACUGGUGACCACGAGUCACCGGGGUGCCGAAGGGAACCGUGAAACGUGCCGCCUGGGAAGUACGGUCGCAAGGCUGAAACUUAAAGGAAUUGGCGGGGAGCACCACAACGGGUGGAGCCUGCGGUUUAAUUGGACUCAACGCCGGAAAUCUCACCGGAUAGGACAGACAUAUGAUAGUCGGGCUGAAGACUCUACUUGAUGAUCUG
This 264-nucleotide ribosomal RNA is filed under the name uncultured archaeon. RNAcentral describes it as "partial 16S ribosomal RNA". It matches the Rfam family "Archaeal small subunit ribosomal RNA", at positions 719 to 982 of the family's 1478-position model. The record is from RNAcentral.